RNAcentral lists this ribosomal RNA (225 nucleotides) under uncultured Brevundimonas sp. RNAcentral's name for it is "partial 16S ribosomal RNA". It matches the Rfam family "Bacterial small subunit ribosomal RNA", at positions 568 to 792 of the family's 1533-position model. The record is from RNAcentral. Lineage: Bacteria; Pseudomonadati; Pseudomonadota; Alphaproteobacteria; Caulobacterales; Caulobacteraceae.
AGCGUAGGCGGACAUUUAAGUCAGGGGUGAAAUCCCAGAGCUCAACUCUGGAACUGCCUUUGAUACUGGGUGUCUUGAGUGUGAGAGAGGUAUGUGGAACUCCGAGUGUAGAGGUGAAAUUCGUAGAUAUUCGGAAGAACACCAGUGGCGAAGGCGACAUACUGGCUCAUUACUGACGCUGAGGCUCGAAAGCGUGGGGAGCAAACAGGAUUAGAUACCCCCGUA